GUGUGCGUGCAAAACCUGACCAACCGCUCGCUGCCUGAGAGCCCGGCUCAGUUCUCCUCUGUGUUUGGGGCUUGGUUUGGUUUGGUUUGGUUUUUUGUUUGUUAAUCCAGUGGAAACGGUGUUUACCUUGCUGCCUGUUUUUGGUUGGGGGGGGGGGGGUGUGAUUUUUGUUUUGGUUUGUUUUGUUUUUCCCUGGGUGUCACUUGUCAAAAGGGUGGGGGAAAAUAUACUGUGGAAGGUGACAAUUCAAUUUAUGGUCUCCCCAUCUCCCCUCGGAGAUGUUACUUUAUAAUAGUAGGUAACGAUGCCUCUCUCCUUCCAUUUUCCCCCCUUCCUCCCUUCCUUCCUCCCUUCUUUCCUCCCUCCCUCCCUUCCUCUCUUCCUCCCUUCCUCUCUUCCUUCCCCUCUCCUCCUCCUCUCUCCCCUCUCUCACUCCACAGCUGCAGGUGAAUUUCACCGGCGCUACCGCAGCAGGAGCCCGAGCUUUCACUGUGAGCCUCGACAAAGCGUGCACACAUUCCACAGAUUUUAAUCAAGCAAAACACAACGGGGCUGUGUGUUACCCCGGAUCAGCAAAGCCGCGGCCAGGGCUGCCCACGGGGUACGGGCUUUUUCCAGCUUCGUCCCGGCCUGACAGAGUGUGUGAGAGUACGUGCGGGAGGCAGUGGAGGGGUUGCAGUACCACCCUUCUUCCUCCCUUCUCUCCUACUGCAAUUAAUUUCUGUUAGACAGGCAAAAUAAAAUCUUCGUUUA
Columba livia (rock pigeon) is the source of this 753-nucleotide long non-coding RNA. RefSeq lists it as uncharacterized. The record is from RefSeq and is a predicted model, not a curated record. The transcript is spliced from 2 exons. Lineage: Eukaryota; Metazoa; Chordata; Aves; Columbiformes; Columbidae.